Neodiprion virginianus is the source of this 1275-nucleotide long non-coding RNA. RefSeq lists it as uncharacterized. The transcript has 2 exons. The record is from RefSeq and is a predicted model, not a curated record. NCBI's taxonomy places the organism in Eukaryota, Metazoa, Arthropoda, Insecta, Hymenoptera, Diprionidae.
GGACGAGAUGUACCGUGAACAGCUGUCGUAUUGCCAAGUAACGUAGUUGGUAGGAGUAAUUGACGUACUGGUGGGACUUCGAGCAUAACCAUAAGUCGUGUGUGGACAUUGGCAAAGAGACAUAGGAGGUGGAAGUGGAAACGAUCAAGUGCCGCGCGAACGUUGGUUAAAAGCCAUAAUUAUUGUUGAUACAUGUAGACCGUUGUCAUGACGGUGGCUGAUGAAUUAUUCGAAGGAUAAAUGAAAAUUUCGAAAUCUAGACUGAAUAAUUGUGCAUUACUAUCGUUUCUAUCUAGCACACAACGUUUGUUUGUGUCGUAUAGAAUUGCCAAUGAAAACUGAAAAAUGAGUUUUUUUAGCUGCCUAUCUUUUCUUGAUAAAAUGUAAACUUUCUGAUCGUCACUCAAUUCUGGGAUGGUGUAAUCACUCAUGUGUCAACAGAUGAUUAUCGUUCCUUGAUUUAACUGUAACGUAUCUUGUAGGUCAAUUUUUACACCUAAGCAGUGCCUACUGCUGUUUUCUUAUCGGAUAUCUAGCAUACGCGGAGAAAUACUUCGAGAAAAAUAAAUGAAACUAAAUCCUGCAACGUGAUUGUUGCAACUAACAGGAAUAAAUGAAUAACGGCCCGUUAUAAUCUUCCGUUUUUACUGUCGUUGACCGUCAAUAUUACGCUGGUUAUACUUUUCGUACGACAACAAUAAUGAAAACGGAAGAUUAUAACGGACCGUUAUACAUAAUCGAGGCCGUUAAAAGAAGAACAUUGCAAAUACGAGAGGCGAAAAAGACUGUCUCCAUGGCGCACGCUAUACUUUAAGUAACAAAACUGUGGUUUACAAUUUGUAUUUUUUUUUAAAGUGCAGGGUUACGUAUUCCGAUGCUAUUUUCUUGUGCUGUCGCAAACACGAUUACCUUACGUACGAAACGCAGGCAUAAAAAGACGCCUAAGCCACAUUAGUGUAACAUAAAAGACGCAGAAAUAGUGAGCAAGCGUCGAGCAGGUAUACGAGCGGUUUUUUGAAGUUUUCAACCAGUUUUUUCAAGAGUCUGAACCAGUUUUUUGAAGAGUCAGAAGGGCAACUCUAUGGACCAGGAAUCGCUGAUUAGCAUAUUAAUGCGAUGGAAAUUGCGACCUGCACCUUUCCCGCCGCACGACAAAUGCAUACUCGAGACGCCUCGGUGAAAUGGUUGUACCAGGCAUAACAUGACAUGUAUCCUAAUGAAAAAAUUCGAGAAGACUGUUGAAAUACAUAACAAUAAACCCUGAAAGUUUCGUUU